This 497-nucleotide ribosomal RNA is filed under the name uncultured bacterium. RNAcentral describes it as "partial 16S ribosomal RNA". It matches the Rfam family "Bacterial small subunit ribosomal RNA", at positions 28 to 507 of the family's 1533-position model. The record is from RNAcentral.
GAUGAACGCUGGCGGCGUGCCUAAUACAUGCAAGUCGAGCGAACAGACGAGGAGCUUGCUCCUCUGACGUUAGCGGCGGACGUGUGAGUAACACGUGGAUCACCUACCUAUAAGACUGGGAUAACUUCGGGAAACCGGAGCUAAUACCGGAUAAUAUAUUGAACCGCAUGGUUCAAUAGUGAAAGACGGUUUUGCUGUCACUUAUAGAUGGAUCCGCGCCGCAUUAGCUAGUUGGUAAGGUAACGGCUUACCAAGGCAACGAUGCGUAGCCGACCUGAGAGGGUGAUCGGCCACACUGGAACUGAGACACGGUCCAGACUCCUACGGGAGGCAGCAGUAGGGAAUCUUCCGCAAUGGUCGAAAGCCUGACGGAGCAACGCCACGUGAGUUAUGAAGGUCUUCGGAUCGGAAAACUCUGUUAUUAGGGAAGAACAAAUGUGUAAGUAACUAUGCACGUCUUGACGGUACCUAAUCAGAAAGCCACGGCUAACUACGUG